RNAcentral lists this long non-coding RNA (2581 nucleotides) under Capsicum annuum. Its description in RNAcentral is "long non-coding RNA (CANN_LNC007883)". Lineage: Eukaryota; Viridiplantae; Streptophyta; Magnoliopsida; Solanales; Solanaceae. The record is from RNAcentral.
CGACAUCUUCCCAGCCACCCCAUUUACUGUUUACCCUUUCAUAUACUAAUUUUGGUUAAGAUUCAAAAGGCUUUCGUAUUUUCAAUUUGUGGAUUCAUUAUUUUGGGCAAAGAAAUAACUCCAACGUCUGUUUCCUUUAUCCCUUUCACCGAUUGAAUUCAAUUCAAGGUCAAAGACUAUUAAUGGUCUUUGUCUUACUAUGGAAUUCAAAAAACCUCUCAAGAAUUCAACUCAAAUCCACCUUUUGAAAUCUGAAGAUCCUAGGGUCCCCCCCCUCCCCCCCUCUCCCAAUUUCCCCCUAUAAAUAGAUAGUGAAAACUAAAAAGAGGGAGAGAAUUUUUGGAAAAAAAAUUUGGGGAUUUUGAAGGAGCAUUCCUCUAAUCCCACAUAACCAAGAAUCCACGAAGAAAAUACAUUUAAUUUAUGAAAAAUACUUUGAAUUUCGAUGAACCCGUGUUUGAAUUCUGGUAUGGUGGAAUCUCCAAUUCAGUUCGAAUUCUCGUCUGCUGCCCAAAAACCGGUAAGGCUCAAUUCUUUUUACACCUUUCUUUUUUAGUUGUGAAUUUCGUCGCUGUUAUGUAUUCUGUUGUGAAUGGGAUUGGUUGAAUUUCCAUGAAAUUUUGGUUGUUUGGACAUUGUUUUCUGAGAGUAGGAGUAGAACAUGGUUGUAUGGCCGCAGUCUUGUUGUACAGGAUGUGUUAUCAAUCACCUUUUUAUUUUACAAUUUAGUUGUUUCUUUACGUGUUUUCGAGCAAGGAUUCAUAGAUGAGUCUCUUGGUAACAAAAUAUUAAGUCUGUUGUUAUAGCAAUAUAUCUCUGUGGAUUUGUAUAAUUAAAGUAAAUUUGUUGUCAAGCAAUAAUUUGAGAUGGAGCUUGAAUGCUUGGGUAUUUAAAUGCGAGGUAAUAACUACGGCUAGAAUAGCUUGAAUGCUUGGGUGUUUAAAUAAUGGUUCCAUUGUUUCUGUUUCAUAUUUUUAGCACAUACUUUUCUCCUAGUUUUCUUAGUAAAAAAUGAUUCAAAUCACUAAUGGUUUUUAGUAAAUUCAUACAUUUCAAAAUGGUGGUUUGAAGCUUUCAUCGAGACCAAGAGGGUAAUCUUUUGUUAAUAGUUGAAGGACAUUACCUUUGUAAAUCACUCAAAUUCAUCGAAUAUACAAACGUAUGAGUUGUUUUCGAUUGUCAAACAAGUUCAAAGUUGGGAUUUUAAAAGGUUCCUCCCUUUCCCAUUAUUGUUGUGUGGUUGCAAGCUGAAAUUUCCCCCUUUAGUUCCAUUAUUUUGAACUAGAAAUCAAAAUUUUCUUUAACCAUGAAGUUGGUCAUUAAGUUUCUGCACUUUUUUGUUUAAACAUGAUGGAUUGAUUACCUGGGUUGUCUUAGAAACAUAUUUGAAGUUUGUUUUGCUUCAAAGCAAUAAUGUCCAGUGAUGAAAGAAAAAAGAAGCUAAAGCUUGCUUGUUUAUUAAAUCUAGCUCGUCUUUAUUCAUGGUUAAAGAGGUUUUGCACUCCGAAGUGUAUCUAUUUGAAAUACUUGAUUGAAGUGUUGUGUCAAAGCUCAAAGCCCCUUCAUAAUUGUUAAUUCAUUCUCUCUUGAGCGUAUGGAUAGAAUAUGACGAUACCCUAUCUUCUCUAAAACAUGACAAGUUUGUUUUAAAAAUCUUACUCAUGAUUGUGAAUUGGCCACUAAUCCUUAUCUCCUUUAUUUUUGCAUGUAAAAUUUUGCUCAAGUUUAUUGUACUCUUUCUGGCCUCUACCCGACCAUAUCCCGAGUCAAUCCCCAUGCUAAAGUCCCAAACGGACUGAUACAGUGGUGAUGUACAGCAGAGAUACACCAAUAUACAGGUUCAGAUAAAAAGGAAAAUUGAAAAGGAAGCUGAUUAUACAGGGGGAGGAGCAGAGGUGUGUGUGUGUGACUAAAAUACGGUCAUAUAUACACCGUAUAUACACAAAACCGCAGGAAAAUAUAGCUGGUAUACAUGUGGUAUACACCGCAGGAGAAUGGACCUAAAGUUCAUAAAAUGAGAAGCCCAAAGGCUGGGCAGCUAACUAAUGGGCCAAAAAGGGGCCCAACUCUAACUUUAAUCUCUUAUUCUUUUAUAAAUUGCAACUUAUAUACUUAUUUAUUUGUAUUAGCACUAAUUUUACUUAGUUAACCUAGUGAUUUCCCAGGUUGUUGCCAUUCCAUUUAUCUUGAAUCCCUAAUUUAUUUUAUAAUUUUCCCACGUAAUUCAUAAAAGGAGAAAAAUAAGUACUUUAGUCCAAAAAAUGACAUUUGUUUUGUUCAUAUGACUAAUAGUCCACUUGGGUUAAAAAAUAAUUUUCUUCAAGCUCAAGAAGUUAAUUCCUUUCUCGUAAAUUCUAACUUUCCAUAAUUGAUAAAAAUAUUUUUAACAUGACACUUCCUUAAUAUUUUUCAAAGGUGUUAUUUAUAACAAAAUGGUCAUUUUUAUGACAAUAAUAAUAAUAAAUAAUUAUAUAAUUCUCAUUUUCCAUAAAAAAAAUUAACUUAUUUCCUCUUUAAAGUCAAGUGUGCAAUCUAGUUAGAUAGGUUUCCUUCUUUUUUUUUUUUUUUUUUUUUUUAAAUU